RNAcentral lists this long non-coding RNA (351 nucleotides) under Canis lupus familiaris (dog). Its description in RNAcentral is "lncRNA (ENSCAFG00030004492.1)". The record is from RNAcentral. Lineage: Eukaryota; Metazoa; Chordata; Mammalia; Carnivora; Canidae.
AUGAUCAGAUGUAUGGGGAAGGAAGCACUCACACUAAAAAUCACCAUGAAGUUAACUGUCUUCAAGAGCAAGCCUUCAAGUUUCCCUAGCCAUAAAGAAUUCCAGAAUGCCAUGGCAGCCUUGCUGAAUUACCCUCCUCCUCAUCGCCUGCAUUCAGCAGCUUUGGUGACCAGCUACGUCGUUUGGCAGCGGGCUAAAGUGCUCACAAUUGCACAGAGCAAGGAGCAUGCUGUACAGUGAUGUUCCAGUUUAAAAGGACAGAGCUGCAAACAAAGAAAGAACAUACAUUUUGAAGUUAGAACAAACUGGUUUUGAACCAUUUCUCCAGUUUUCCAGCUACAUGACCUGCAG